UACGUAGGGUGCAAGCGUUGUCCGGAAUUAUUGGGCGUAAAGAGCUCGUAGGCGGUUUGUCGCGUCUGCUGUGAAAACUCGGGGCUUAACCCCGGGCCUGCAGUGGGUACGGGCAGACUAGAGUGCGGUAGGGGAGACUGGAAUUCCUGGUGUAGCGGUGAAAUGCGCAGAUAUCAGGAGGAACACCGGUGGCGAAGGCGGUCUGCUGGGCAGUAGCUGACACUGAGGCGCAACAGCGUGGGGAGCAAACAGG
RNAcentral lists this ribosomal RNA (253 nucleotides) under uncultured bacterium. RNAcentral describes it as "partial 16S ribosomal RNA". It matches the Rfam family "Bacterial small subunit ribosomal RNA", at positions 524 to 776 of the family's 1533-position model. The record is from RNAcentral.